AAAGUUGUUGCAGUUAAAAAGCUCGUAGUUGGAUUUCGGAAGGUCCUUAGCAGUCCGCCCCUUCGGGGAGCGGGYUGCUGGCCUCCUAUGUUCCUAACGGUCCUCAUCCGCGAGGGUGGGGAAUCAACCGCUAGGAUCGUUUACUUUGAGGAAAUUAGAGUGUUCAAAGCAGGCGUAACUCGCCUCCGAAUACGUUAGCAUGGGAUAAUGGAAUACGACUUCGGUCUUGUUUCGUUGGUUUCGCUUGGCUGAAGUAAUGAUUGAUAGGGACAGUUGGGGGCAUUAGUAUUUAGUUGUCAGAGGUGAAAUUCUAGGAUUUACUAAAGACUGACCAAUGCGAAAGCAUUUGCCAAGGAUGUUUUCAUUAAUCAAGAACGAAAGUAGGGGGAUCGAAGACGAUCAGAUACCGUCGUAGUCUCUACCGUAAACUAUGCCGACCAGGGAUCCGGAGAGUUUGCAUGGAUGACUCCCCGGGCACCUUGUGAGAAAUCAUAAGUGUUUGGGUUUUGGGGGGAGUAUGGUCGCAAGGCUGAAACUUAAAGGAAUUGACGGAAGGGCACCACCAGGAGUGGAACCUGCGGCUUAAUUUGACUCAACACGGGGAAACUUACGAGGUCAGGACACUGUGAGGAUUGACAGAUUGAAAGCUCUUUCUUGAUUCAGUGGGUGGUGGUGCAUGGCCGUUCUUAGUUGGUGGAGUGAUUUGUCUGGUUAAUUCCGUUAACGAACGAGACCU
This 736-nucleotide ribosomal RNA is filed under the name Vermamoeba vermiformis. RNAcentral's name for it is "SSU rRNA". It matches the Rfam family "Eukaryotic small subunit ribosomal RNA", at positions 608 to 1354 of the family's 1831-position model. Lineage: Eukaryota; Tubulinea; Echinamoebida; Vermamoebidae. The record is from RNAcentral.